UAGAGACAGGGUUGGAAAUGGUGCUGGUGGAACCCUGAGGAUGUGCCCAGCAAGGAAAGGUGUGUUACAGGUUGCUUCUGACUCUUGGGUCCAAAGUUCCUCUCCUGAUAGUGGGUACACAGUUUUUCCUUUACAACUAAGGGUCAUUUCCGUGCUGCUGGUGGAGCGCUAAGACUAAACGGUUUGGUAGGCCGCCUGGGGUCUCACUGCCUUUGGAUUCUCCAGCAUCAUAACCCAGAAUACAAAAUAUCUGGCUUGAUUCCUGAGCAUGCAGUUGUCCCAAAUCAGCCUUCUGUCACAUGUAUGGCAUCAGGAAACCAGUGCUUGAGGAUCUGAAUGGAGUGUGAAACAGCACUAGUGUUUUGUCUGGCCAGGCUGUACUCCUCACCGGGAUCUAUCUGCCAAAUUUCUCCCCCGAGUGCCUCUUCAUUUUUCCUCUUGAACCAAUGCUUCCUCUCAUUCAUCUCCAGGGAAAGGGAUUUGCUAAGAAGGCAAUCGCAUGUUUUAAGGUGAGCAGAUGAAUUUCCAGCUGGUGACCUGAUGUGAAGUGGGAUGGAUCAGUUGAUGGACGUAGACCAGUGGUGUUGGAAAAGGAGGAAACAGUGCCAUAGGAGACUUUGAGAGACAAAGAUAUUGCCCUCUGUCAGGUGGGAUAUAGUUUUCAUUAGAGGGAGAGUAGGUUGGAAAUCAGCUGUCAAGUGCACAACCCUAGUGCAGUCCGUCCCUGGUUUUGGUCAGGAGGCAAAAGGUCCUCAGAGUGGUUAUUAGAGAGAAUGAUUGCUAGAGCACCAGCAAAGCCCAGAGGCUGCUUGGGAUCAGCCUGUGCCAGCACAGAGCCAGAGUCGAAGAUGGGGCUGGUGGAUCCCCCAGGACAUGCCUAGGGAGCAGGGGUAGGACACAAAGCACCACUGACUCUCAGGAUAAUUACCUCACCUGAGAGAAAGGACACUGUUCUGCCUCCCCAUCUGUGGGGCGCUCUCAGACAGCUCAGGUGGCCUCAAGUCCAGACACUUGGGCAGGCUGGCAAGAGUAGUGACUGCCUUUGGAUUCUGCGGAGGCAGAAAACUGAACACAGAUGUAGUUGUCUUAGCUACUGGACAUGCAGUGCUCCAGGAUCAUGCCUGCACCAUGUUCAGCAUCUGGAAAGCUGGGUGGGUGGUCAUGAAUGGAGAGUGGAAAAGCAGAGGUUCCUUGGUGGGAAGGUUGUACAUUUCCUGAAACUUGUCUCUUGAGGAUUCUUUGAAAAUUUCCUUCUAUUUCUUCCAUUCGAGCCUCUCCCCCCUUUCAUUCACCCCUAAGGGAAAAAAUCUUAGCUCAAGACAGGUCACAUAAAUUAAGAGGGGAGGCUGAUCUAAUGUAAAUCCAGUUACUUGAUUUGGAGUGGGUUCAGCUCAUAGGCUAAGAGGAAUGCUAAGGGAUAGGGAGGAGUGAGUGCCAUGGAUGACUGUGAGAGGGAAAUACCUGCCUCCUGGAAGGCACUUGGUUGUUCCUAGAAGGAAAGGAGGAAUUACAUCAGCUCUCUGAGGUGCACGAGCCCAGUGCAGUCCAUGGGCUUGUUUAGGAGGCAGGAGUGGGAGGGCUCUGGGUUGUUACUAGAGGAAAUGGCCACCAGAGGGCCCCGAAGCACCGGGCAAGCCCAGCACCUGCUUGAUGUUGGCACUUCCAGGCUCAGAGAUGGGGAGGGGUGGAUUCCCUCAGGAGGUGUCUGGUGAGGAGGGGAAGGUUACAGGCCAGCCUUGACUCUCCAGUCAAAAUUGGCUAACCCAGUAAAAGGUAAAUGGUUCCACCUUCAACACAUCUGGGUCACUUGCAGUCAGCUCAGGUAGACCAAAGUCCACACCCUUGGACCAGCAAUCAUGGGUCUGGCUGACUUUUGGAUUCUCCCAAAGGAGAACUCUAAAUCCACAAGUAGUUGGUCAGAAUAUUUGGCUUUUCCAGAGCCAGGAUUGCACGGUGUUUGCCUAGGAGAGCUGAAACCAUUGUUCCUACAGGGAAAGGAUGAUUUACAUUGGCUCUGAGGUGGACAAGCCCAGGGCAGCCCCAUGGACUUGUUUCAGAGGGAGGAGGAAGGGCUUUGGGUUGUAAUUCAAGAGAUUGGCCACCAGAGGGCAACAGAGCCCAGCAGAUGCUUGGUAUUGGCCUAUCCCAGCCCAGAGGUGGAGUUUGACGUGGGGGUGGUGGAUCAGCAGUGGUCAUGCCUUGUGAAGAGGGCUGGGUUACAGGUCUCCUUUGACUCUUGGGUCUAAAUUAGCUCACCUGAUAGGAAGGACCUUGUCCUGCUCUUCCCAUCUGCGGGUCACUUUCUGACAGCUCAGGUAGCCUGAAGUCCAGAUGAUUGGACAGUCCGUGAAGCGUUCUGACUGCUUUGGAUUCUGCAGAGGCUGCAUCUGAGACAAAAGGGUGUGGGAUGGAAUACCGGGCUUGCAGCGCUCCCAGAACAGGCUUGCGCAGUGUGUGGCCUCUGGGCAGCUGGGUGGGUGGCUGUGAAUGGAGGGUGCAAAAGCAGCAUUUCUCUGGUCAGCAGGUUCAUCCAUCCCAGAGACUCAUCUCUUGAAGGUUUUCUGUAAGAUUCCUUCUUUUCCUUCCGUCUGAGCUUCUCCCCUCCUCUCAUUCACCCCUGAUGGUGAAAAUCUCACCUCGACCCAAGUGGCAGAAAUGAAGACGGGGAGGCUGAUUCAUUGAAAUCUGGUCACGUGAUUGGGAGUGGGUUCGGCUCAAUGACUUAGAGGGGAAGGAUUGGGAGGCGUGAGCACCAUUGCUGACUAUGAGAGGAAAAUGGUAGUUUUAGAAUGAGAGGAGGUAUUACAGCAACUACCCAGUGCACAAGCCCAGUGCAGUCCAUCCAGGGGUCUGUUCAGGAGGCAGGAGGCAGGCCUCUGAGCUGUCAUUAGACGUAAUGCCCGCCAGAGGGCGCCAAAGCGCUGGCCAAGCCCGGUAGCUGCUUGGUAGGAACACCUCCAGGCUCAGAGAUGGGGUUUGAAGUGUGUGUGGAUGGAUCCUCCAGGAGGGGUCCAGCAAAAAUUGGUUACUGAACCACUGCGGCUGACUAUCCAGUCCAAAUUGACUCAUCUGGUAUAAAUAAAUGGAAAGAGUUCUGCCUUCCAGGUAUCUGGCUCAACUGCAGUCUGCCCAGCUAGCCCAAA
This 3143-nucleotide long non-coding RNA is filed under the name Sus scrofa (pig). RNAcentral's name for it is "lncRNA (ENSSSCG00025000312.1)". The record is from RNAcentral. Lineage: Eukaryota; Metazoa; Chordata; Mammalia; Artiodactyla; Suidae.